Molecule: long non-coding RNA, 164 nt
Filed under: Canis lupus dingo (dingo)
Lineage: Eukaryota; Metazoa; Chordata; Mammalia; Carnivora; Canidae
Description: lncRNA (ENSCAFG00020006774.1)
Source: RNAcentral
ACGGAAAGAAGCGUGCUGUCUACGACCAGUUAGGAACAGGGAACACGAGUGUGGCUUGAGCUUCCUCAACCAUGUCGCUCAACCGAAUAGCUGCAAGCUGGGAAGUGCUGCGGAAGGCUAAUGUCGGGCAAACGGCCACUGUCAACGUGGGACAGCAAUUGUGU